Molecule: transfer RNA, 72 nt
Filed under: Marmota monax (woodchuck)
Lineage: Eukaryota; Metazoa; Chordata; Mammalia; Rodentia; Sciuridae
Description: tRNA.Val
Source: RNAcentral
UUGGGUGUAACUCAGUGGUAGAGUGUGAGCUUAACAUGAGCAUAACCCUGGGUUUAAUCCCCCACACCAAUA